This is a non-coding RNA of Pelobates cultripes (western spadefoot toad), 536 nucleotides long. Lineage: Eukaryota; Metazoa; Chordata; Amphibia; Anura; Pelobatidae. The record is from the annotation of a GenBank genome assembly.
AUUAAAUAUCAAUAAAAACAAUUAAAGAAAUUAAGAAAAUAAAUCUUUACUAACUUUUUUCCAGCACUGAGACCCCCUCGGCGCUGCUCACCUCUGUCUCCAAUGUCAUGGAGAAGGCAUGGCCUGCUUUCUGAUGGUCUAAUCCAAUGUUCUUCAUAGAGGAGCAUUGGGGACCAGAUGUGCAUGCACAGAGGGCACCACAUGCACAUUCAAACUUCCCCAUAAGAAAGCAUUGGAUUCAAUGCUUUCCUAUGGGCUUUUAGGUCACUUGACAGAGUUUUACCAGAAAUGGAUUUAACAUUGCGAUUUUUACCUGCAGUGAUGGCUGUCAGCAAAAAAAAACCAGGAUGGUAUCAGACCUGAAUUAGACUUUUAUAAAGUCAUGUGAAAUGGACAAUGGCAAAAUACAUUGGAAAUUUAGGACAAAGUUUAAGCUAACAGAGUCUCUCAAAAAGGUUGGAUGAUAAAAGGUAGUGCUACAGCAAUGGACACCAAAAACUAUGUUGUGGAAUUUCUAAAUUGGAGAAUGGGCAACA